AAAUGGGUAAGUCCUAUACGGCCAGCUCCCUUGGAAUUCCCCCAGGGCUUGACCGCAGCAAGGGUACUCGGUUGUAGCGGCGCGAUGUAGCAAGCUUACCCACC
RNAcentral lists this signal recognition particle RNA (104 nucleotides) under bovine gut metagenome. Its description in RNAcentral is "Bacteroidales small SRP". It matches the Rfam family "Bacteroidales small SRP". From Rfam's summary of the family: The non-coding component of the signal recognition particle in Bacteroides The record is from RNAcentral. RNAcentral also lists the same sequence under 1 other name.